GAUGAACGCUGGCGGCGUGCUUAACACAUGCAAGUCGAACGAAGCACUUUAUUUGAUUUCCUUCGGGGCUGAUUAUUUUGUGACUGAGUGGCGGACGGGUGAGUAACGCGUGGGUAACCUGCCUUGUACAGGGGGAUAACAGUUGGAAACGGCUGCUAAUACCGCAUAAGCGCACAGCAUCGCAUGAUGCAGUGUGAAAAACUCCGGUGGUAUAAGAUGGACCCGCGUUGGAUUAGCUAGUUGGUGAGGUAACGGCCCACCAAGGCGACGAUCCAUAGCCGACCUGAGAGGGUGACCGGCCACAUUGGGACUGAGACACGGCCCAAACUCCUACGGGAGGCAGCAGUGGGGAAUAUUGCACAAUGGGCGAAAGCCUGAUGCAGCGACGCCGCGUGAGCGAAGAAGUAUUUCGGUAUGUAAAGCUCUAUCAGCAGGGAAGAUAAUGACGGUACCUGACUAAGAAGCACCGGCUAAAUACGUG
This 481-nucleotide ribosomal RNA is filed under the name uncultured bacterium. RNAcentral describes it as "partial 16S ribosomal RNA". It matches the Rfam family "Bacterial small subunit ribosomal RNA", at positions 28 to 507 of the family's 1533-position model. The record is from RNAcentral.